UACGGAGGAUGCGAGCGUUAUCCGGAUUUAUUGGGUUUAAAGGGUGCGUAGGCGGAGUGCCAAGUCAGCGGUAAAAAUUCGGGGCUCAACCCCGUCGUGCCGUUGAAACUGGCGCCCUUGAGUGGGCGAGAAGUAUGCGGAAUGCGUGGUGUAGCGGUGAAAUGCAUAGAUAUCACGCAGAACCCCGAUUGCGAAGGCAGCAUGCCGGCUUCCGACUGACGCUGAAGCACGAAAGCGUGGGGAUCGAACAGG
Molecule: ribosomal RNA, 252 nt
Filed under: uncultured bacterium
Lineage: Bacteria
Description: partial 16S ribosomal RNA
Rfam family: Bacterial small subunit ribosomal RNA
Source: RNAcentral